RNAcentral lists this ribosomal RNA (253 nucleotides) under uncultured bacterium. RNAcentral describes it as "partial 16S ribosomal RNA". It matches the Rfam family "Bacterial small subunit ribosomal RNA", at positions 524 to 776 of the family's 1533-position model. The record is from RNAcentral.
UACGUAGGGUGCGAGCGUUGUCCGGAAUUAUUGGGCGUAAAGGGCUCGUAGGCGGUUUGUCGCGUCGGGAGUGAAAUCCACUGGCUUAACUGGUGGCUUGCUUUCGAUACGGGCAGACUGGAGUACUGCAGGGGAGACUGGAAUUCCUGGUGUAGCGGUGGAAUGCGCAGAUAUCAGGAGGAACACCGGUGGCGAAGGCGGGUCUCUGGGCAGUUCCUGACGCUGAGGCACGAAGGUCAGGGGAGCAAACGGG